This 884-nucleotide ribosomal RNA is filed under the name Escherichia coli. Its description in RNAcentral is "partial 23S ribosomal RNA". It matches the Rfam family "Bacterial large subunit ribosomal RNA", at positions 1 to 929 of the family's 2925-position model. The record is from RNAcentral. Lineage: Bacteria; Pseudomonadati; Pseudomonadota; Gammaproteobacteria; Enterobacterales; Enterobacteriaceae.
GUUAAGCGACUAAGCGUACACGGUGGAUGCCCUGGCAGUCAGAGGCGAUGAAGGACGUGCUAAUCUGCGAUAAGCGUCGGUGAGGUGAUAUGAACCGUUAUAACCGGCGAUUUCCGAAUGGGGAAACCCAGUGUGUUUCGACACACUAUCAUUAACUGAAUCCAUAGGUUAAUGAGGCGAACCGGGGGAACUGAAACAUCUAAGUACCCCGAGGAAAAGAAAUCAACCGAGAUUCCCCCAGUAGCGGCGAGCGAACGGGGAGGAGCCCAGAGCCUGAAUCAGUGUGUGUGUUAGUGGAAGCGUCUGGAAAGGCGUGCGAUACAGGGUGACAGCCCCGUACACAAAAAUGCACAUAUUGUGAGCUCGAUGAGUAGGGCGGGACACGUGGUAUCCUGUCUGAAUAUGGGGGGACCAUCCUCCAAGGCUAAAUACUCCUGACUGACCGAUAGUGAACCAGUACCGUGAGGGAAAGGCGAAAAGAACCCCGGCGAGGGGAGUGAAAAAGAACCUGAAACCGUGUACGUACAAGCAGUGGGAGCCUCUUAAUGGGGUGACUGCGUACCUUUUGUAUAAUGGGUCAGCGACUUAUAUUCUGUAGCAAGGUUAACCGAAUAGGGGAGCCGAAGGGAAACCGAGUCUUAACUGGGCGUUAAGUUGCAGGGUAUAGACCCGAAACCCGGUGAUCUAGCCAUGGGCAGGUUGAAGGUUGGGUAACACUAACUGGAGGACCGAACCGACUAAUGUUGAAAAAUUAGCGGAUGACUUGUGGCUGGGGGUGAAAGGCCAAUCAAACCGGGAGAUAGCUGGUUCUCCCCGAAAGCUAUUUAGGUAGCGCCUCGUGAAUUCAUCUCCGGGGGUAGAGCACUGUUUCGGCAAGGGGGUCA